Poecilia latipinna (sailfin molly) is the source of this 3190-nucleotide long non-coding RNA. RefSeq lists it as uncharacterized. The record is from RefSeq and is a predicted model, not a curated record. NCBI's taxonomy places the organism in Eukaryota, Metazoa, Chordata, Actinopteri, Cyprinodontiformes, Poeciliidae. The transcript is spliced from 2 exons.
GGAAUUCGGUGAGUACCGAGUGCAUGUAUUUUGAAUAAAAUUAUUGAAAUAUAUAUUUUUUUUAAUGACAUUCUACUGACUGACUUAGUGUUGCAUCACACUUUACACACAGAAGUUUAUGACACAGUGCCGGAUGCAUAUUAAGGUUCUGAUUGGACAAAUAUUGUGCCUUGACGCUAACCGCGUAGGAACCUUAUACGUUUGACUUUCUGCUAAACACAAAUUAGAAUUUUGUUACCAACCAAUACAAAAAUCACUUUAUGUUGUUCAUAAGGUGAAAGUAAAAAUUGUGCACAAUGCUGAUCUAAAUUAUGCGACUGGUGUUUGCACGACAGGAAGUGAUGAUGAAAAAUGCAGCAACGACUUCACCGAGUUGAACGCGAUUACAUCAGGGAAGGCGACUCUUUCUUUUCUUUUUUUUUUUCUUUUUUUGGUGAGUUAUGCAUUUUUAAAGAGAGAAAAAGGAGACACAUCUGUGGAAUUUAUGGUUAUUCUUUUAUAUUAAGAAAAUGUGAAACAUUUAUUCUGCCUUUAUCUUAGCAAAGAGAUGCAUUUCUGUUUUCUCAGGCAGAGACACUAACUAUUUUAAUUUGUAGUAUAGUUAUGUUUUGCGCUACCCGAGUGCUAACAUUUGCAGAUAGGAAUUCCUCAAAAAGAAUUAGCAACUGUUAGCACUGGUGCCUUACAGGAAGAAGUUUUAUCCAGAGACGUUGCUGCAGAUUUCUAACCCUUUACAGGUUAGAUUAAAAUCUGAGAUUGUUUAGAUUUUAAUAAAAUUGUGUUUUUAACUGGGGAUCAGAGAGAGAGCCAUAGUGCAGCUUUCUGUUGCGUGGCAAUAUCUGAUCUCAUGUGAAAGAAUGCCUGAUCUUGGGCACAUCUGCUCCUCAUCAGGCUUGCCACAGUUCAUAACAAGACAAUUCAAAGCGGAGCUAAGUCUCUCUGGUGCGAUGUUCUGUCGGAGCACGGCUCCUCCUCUGCAUUAUCCAGCAGCCCCUUUUGUCUCCCUGCAUUAAGAUUUAAUAACCUGAAUGUCAGCGUGCAGAUCAGCAGUAAUACCAGCCGACGCUAUGAUAACGCCAACACGCCAUUGUGGUGUUUGCGGUACGUCCAGAAAUCCUUCCCCAAAUCUGUUUAACAGAAACACAAGGCACUUUCACUCGUCUACAUACAGCGGCCGCACGGCCUUGGGCCUGACAAGCGGGCUGCAUAAAUAUUCUAUACCCUUGAUGUGAGGCUUCAUUUUCACUAACCACUUUGCAAAGACAUUUAACCAGUUACACUAGUUGUAAUACUCUGCUGUACAAGCUCAAAAGGACAAAGUAGCUGAGUUUGCCAACUAGUGCAACUUUUAUCUGCUAGCUUACCAACAUCUAGCAAAGGCCUGCUAGAUGGACGAAGCGGCACACAAUGCAAUGGUAUGACAAUUACCACAAGUCUAGUGAGACAGUUGGCAUUCAGGGCCUUCACAUUAACUAUCCAUCCAUUCAUUGUAUGUAGCUGUUUGUCCUUGUUGGGUCUGGGGUUUAACUUCAGCUUUCAUUGGGUGAGAAGUGGGGAACAUGUUGUGUACUCUAACAUAUUACUAGACUUGGAUUAAAGUGGUUGACAAAUAGACCCUAAAAUCCAGUGAUUUGGUGGAUGGGCUUGUCAAAGUUUAUUUUAGCUGCAUUAUUAAAGCUGUUGAACAACAGCUUUAAUAAUGCUUUAAUAAACCCAACUAGUUAACUAGUGAAGAUUUAGGAACCUACUUACACAUUGUCAAUUUAUAUUAAAAAGUCUAUGUUGUAAUUUCUAAGAAAAAACGCAAACUUACUAUCUUUGGACUUCCUUUCUCCUUUAAAUGUUCUCUGCAAACCCUCAAGAUGGCUGAGUAACAAUCACAGCAGAAUUAAAAUUUUUGACCAACCAGUCUUCCACAAACAACCACACCAAGUUCAGAGUCACUUAAAACCAACGUCUUUCCCAUUUCUGAUGCUCCCAACUUAAGCAGGUCGAUGGGUGUAACUAGUAAGUAGCCAGUGAGCAUAAUUCAUCACAAAGCCUACUAGUUGGGAUUAUGUUAGCCUGAUAAAAACAAUGCCCUUGUUCUACGCUUUACUUCAUACAAAGGCAAGGCUGUUUGCUUGCUGGAGGUGUGAACUUUGUUGGAGUUUAAAAUUUUAUCCAAUUGCUAAAGUUUUGCUGUGAUGUAACGCAUCUAUUUGACGCUAUGAAACUUACCAGAAACUACCUGCACUGCAAACAACCAUCCCUCACUGCGGAGAUUUAAGAUAGCUGUUAAUAUUAAUUCAAUAUUAGAAAGCGCAGCCAUCCUGCACCGAAUGGCUUUGUUUCAUUUCUACCUCUGCCAAAAUGAAACCAUGGCAGACUACAAUUCUGAAACGGCACCGAAAAAUUUAUGUCAUUGUUCACAAUUCCUCUUUCUGUUCGCUGAAUGGCCCGGUGGAAAUUCUACCAGGCAAAUUGAGCUCAGUGGGAGAAAGCCCAGACAAAGCACCGAGUGUAGAUGAGAAUCGAGCCGAAUCGUAGGGCUAGACUUUUGUGCUACUACAUAGACUCUAGCUUAGCAUUAGGACUUCUGUUCCUACUAGCUGGACACCAAUCCACCAGUUAGCAAAGUGUUGUGUCUAAACUGGUACAGAAGUGGUAUUAUAAAUGUAAAACUAGUGGAAUGUAGUCGGAAAUUAAAAGCGAUGGCCAUCAGUGGUAUUUUUACAACCCGUAGCUAAUGUUUCUGUUGUCUCAAGCUUUGAAUGCUACUUUCAUUUUGCAUUCAGAAUUGUGGCAGAUUAAUAAAUCCACUUAAUUAUGGACAAACACACAAGAGCUCUCCAUUUGGCAUCAAUUUAUUGGACGCUUGGGAAUGAGGAAUAAUCGAUAAGCAUUUUGCAAAAGAUAGAUAGUUCUACUGUAAUUUUUCUCUGGUUAAAAGACUAAAAUCAUGUUAGAGGCAGGAAGAUUUUCAUUAGCUUAAUACACAUAGGCACAACUUUCAAGUCUCUAAUGAGGAGGAUACAGAUGACUCCGUACAGUCGGACCCUAAUACAAACACUUCUCCGAAACAUCACUGGAAUGCUGAGGUAAAAGCACAUGGACAUGACAAGGUCAAUCUGUAGCUCUGUGUCCGGGUUAAAUCAACCUAUACAAGCUGGAACAGGUUAACAGGUUUGACUGGUCUUAUUUACAGAUU